GACGAACGCUGGCGGCGUGCCUAAUACAUGCAAGUAGAACGCUGAAGAGAGGAGCUUGCUCUUCUUGGAUGAGUUGCGAACGGGUGAGUAACGCGUAGGUAACCUGCCUGGUAGCGGGGGAUAACUAUUGGAAACGAUAGCUAAUACCGCAUAAAAUGGAUUAUCGCAUGAUAAUCCAUUGAAAGGUGCAAAUGCAUCACUACCAGAUGGACCUGCGUUGUAUUAGCUAGUUGGUGAGGUAACGGCUCACCAAGGCAACGAUACAUAGCCGACCUGAGAGGGUGAUCGGCCACACUGGGACUGAGACACGGCCCAGACUCCUACGGGAGGCAGCAGUAGGGAAUCUUCGGCAAUGGACGGAAGUCUGACCGAGCAACGCCGCGUGAGUGAAGAAGGUUUUCGGAUCGUAAAGCUCUGUUGUAAGAGAAGAACGAGUGUGAGAGUGGAAAGUUCACACUGUGACG
This 464-nucleotide ribosomal RNA is filed under the name Streptococcus sp. oral taxon 071. RNAcentral describes it as "bacterial SSU rRNA". It matches the Rfam family "Bacterial small subunit ribosomal RNA", at positions 28 to 474 of the family's 1533-position model. The record is from RNAcentral. Lineage: Bacteria; Bacillati; Bacillota; Bacilli; Lactobacillales; Streptococcaceae.